Alnus glutinosa is the source of this 1494-nucleotide RNA transcript. It is a transcript of the gene named DNA-directed RNA polymerases II and IV subunit 5A-like, with no coding region annotated. The transcript is spliced from 8 exons. NCBI's taxonomy places the organism in Eukaryota, Viridiplantae, Streptophyta, Magnoliopsida, Fagales, Betulaceae. The record is from RefSeq and is a predicted model, not a curated record.
UUUUCGACGUUUCGUAUCUUCCCCCCCUCCCCCCUUAAAACCGACGCCUUGUCUCUAUGUUCGACAAAGCCCCCAACUCUACCGAAGCUUCAAAACAAAGUACAAGACAAACCCAAGAUGAUUUUGCUGAUUUCCGUUGAAUUUUGGGAUUUCGGUUGAAUUGACAACUCUCUCUCUCUCUCUGUUCCGUGGUCGGCUCGCUCCGGCGGCAUCUCUACGUUGAUUACUCGUGUGAAAGGUAAUUAACAAGCUCUUUUCGCAAACUUAUUGACGAAGCAAUGACGCUGUCGGAGGAGGAAAUCAAUAGGCUUUUUAGGAUUCGAAGAACGGUGAUGCAAAUGCUGAAAGACCGGGGUUAUUUUGUUGGGGAGUUUGAGAUUGACAUGACCAAAGAGCAGUUCAAGAAUAAGUACGGCGAGAGCAUGAAAAGGGAAGACCUUGUUAUCAAUAAAGCCAAGCGAAACAAUAGUUCCGAUCAGAUCUAUGUUUUCUUUCCCGAGGAGCAAAAGGUUGGUGUUAAGACAAUGAAGACUUACUCCCAACGCAUGAAGUCGGAGAAUGUUUUCAGAGCAAUCUUGGUUGUUCAACAUAAUUUGACUCCCUUUGCUCGGAGCUCCAUAAAUGAGAUUUCUUCAAAAUUCCAAUUGGAGGUUUUCCAGGAGGCAGAGUUGUUGAUAAACAUUAAAGAGCAUGUUCUUGUUCCAGAGCAUCAGGUGCUUACAAUUGAGGAGAAGAAAACUUUGCUGGAGAGGUACACCGUGAAAGAAACACAGCUGCCUCGUAUUCAAGUGACUGAUCCAGUCGCGAGAUAUUAUGGGCUGAAGCGUGGACAAGUCGUGAAGAUAAUCCGGCCAAGUGAGACUGCAGGCCGAUAUGUCACUUACCGUUAUGUUGUAUAAGUACUUCUUACAUCUUAGUAACGGCUCAGAAAAGUGUUGUGACCGGACUUGAGUGGAAAGUGUUCAUUGCCUCUGCCAAAACAGCCAAAGAACCAAACUCAACGAUUUUGUUGGAACUUAUUUAUGGGUUUUGAGGAGCAGUUUGUGGCGUUAUUGACAACUAUUGAAGCAGGUAGUCCUCAAAAGGAGCCGGGUUCUUGUUCUAAUGUUGGCAACAAAGGCAUUAGGGAGUUAAAAAGCUUCGAUUCGGUGUCCCGCAGCCAUACAAAUUUCACAAGAAAAAGGAAGUGGACCUUGCCGGGGACCUCUGGCGAUUUGUGCCCAAAGGCAAUCAAACGAAAAGGACAUCUAGCUUCCCAUUGCAUGGGUUGUUAAAUUGGGAUGCGUUACUUGUAUAAUGAAAUGUGUGUAUAAUUUUUACGCUAGGAAAAUGUUGGAUUUACAAUACCACCACAAUAAUUACACAACAGCCCCUCACAUGGGGGUAGGGCCCAGUGUGUAGGGCUCACUCUUAUGUGAGGAGCUGUUGUACAAUUGUUGUACCGGUGAAGUGUAAGAAUCAAACCUUUUUACACAAAUAAGAUAUAUUGGUAGG